GGCCGGGACAGAGGCAGCUGUCCGGUCUCCAGGCUUCUCUGAGCUUGGGUCAGCUCCUAGUGAAACAUUGCACUCCAGGGAACCAGAGGCCCUCUGUGAAGACGGGCACAAAAAACAGGGUGUCUCCCGCACAGCUCCCAGGAGUCAGGUGGGACCCAGGCGUGGGAGGAUCUUUCUGUCCCACAUUCCUGGCAUCCCCCCAAGUUUGUUUCUACUUUCCAGGAACCACAGAAACGGAAGUAACCUGCAGCAGGGUUUCGAGGCCAGCCAGGCGCUCUGUGAGUGAGGGCUCCCAUAGCCGCUGAGGGCAGCCGACAGCCAGGCAGCCUCACCCGCUGCCCAGAAUGGGACUGCCCUUUCCCAGUCCUUCCCCUUGCCACAGCCUCACCAUCGCGCCAACCUCCCUCCUCCCGCUCUGGCUCUCCACUGGCCUCUCAGGCAGCAGAAUCAGCCUUUGCUCCCCAGCCUUGCUGCCCCUGCCCCACACAGGUCAUCCUGGCCAGGCGGUGACCAGUUUCCCAAAUGCUCACUCCCCAGGGGACAGUGUGGCCCACUCCUCCACCUCCAUGGUGGCCCAGGUGGCAGGGCCCAUGGUGGAGGCCUCAGGCAGCUUUCUGUCUGGCUACCCAUUGGCUUGGGACAGAUACACAGAUAAAGUGGAGCGGAAACAUGGGCCAAGACAUCCCCAGACAAGGAGGGCACAAGAGGCCACAUUUGAAAGCCCUGGGAGAGAAGCCCUUUUCCCCGCCUCUGGCUAGCGUGCUUUUCUGUCUGAAUGGCCUCCCUUUCAUGCACGCUCAACAGACGCACGGGCCGCAGCCAGCCUCUCGGUGAAGGCUGUCCCCUGGGCUUGUCCACAGCAGGAGGCCCCUGGCCUGUCCAAGCCAUAGCAAUGCUCAAUUUACAUUUUUGGAGUUGAAUCUUAUUCCAGCGCCUCCACCACCCCCAGCAGUAAAAUAAGACACUGAAAUAAGCUGAGUCAUUUAGCGAGCACCUCCUGUGUGCCAGGCUCCUAGAAAGACAGGGAGCCAGUGCCCUGCACAGACGACAAACUGCCCCGGACAGCAGACACGCUGCCCUAGACAGCCUGCUCACCUCGCCUGCACAAGGUGUGCCCCGCAGGGAGAAGCCCUCCUUCUCACCCAGGGAGUCCAGCCAUUGUCACCUUCCCUGGUCCAUACUCAGGAAAUCUGGUCGCCCUGGCAAACUGCACCUGACAUUGAGGUCCCUUUUCUUCACCAAAGAUGCACAGGUGUCUGUGCCGAGCUGACAUCAUUCAGGCCAAGCGCAGAGGAUGUGAUGAGGGAUGGAGGGAGGACGCGGAGAGGGAGCAGGGAGCUCCCAUUCUCCCGUGGAUCCCUGGCCCUUCCAGGAGUAAGUCCUGGGCAGGCAGAGCUGGAGUUGGCCUGAUCCCACCUGCCUUGCUCUUAGAAAGGACAUCAGGUGUGGGCAAAGCAUCCUUGGAGCCCAGACAGCACAGCCAUGGCCCACGUGCCCUCCCAGCCCCUGCUGCACCACACCACUCAGCCCUGGGUGAGCCCCUUGGAAUUGUCUGCAUGCCCCAAGCCCCAACGGGAAGAAGGGAAAGGAGGGGAAGCUGACGCUCACUCAGUGCCCACUGUGUGCCAGGCUCUGGGCUCAACCCUCUGAUAUCCACACAUCUCAUUCUCCCAACCUGUGUGGACAGUGGGGUUAAGCUCAUUCUUUAGAUGUGGAAAUGGAGCUCCGGGAGACGGCAGGACAUGCCCAAGGCAAAGAGUUCGUAGUUCCUGGAUUUGGGAAUCAAGUGCAUGUCCAUCUACUCCCAGGGCAGGAAACGUCUCUAAAACGUUGAUCAGUCUGAAGCUUACACACUGGAAACCGGGCCAGGUAGCCAGGGUGGUGGACUCCAGAGACAGAGAGAAGGCUGCAGACGGGAGAGAACAGCCAGGGUGCCAGGGUGACUUCAGUGACAUCCCCUCCUUCCUUAGGCACGAAAAAUCGUUCGGAUAAUGGACAGCUUCUGCCCUCCCUACCAGGCAGACAGGACACUCACGGUGCCAGCAUGAGCAGACACAGCCAGAGGCUCAAGUGCCCUUGCCGAGUGUCCCGCUGCUCUUGGGGAGGCCCCAGCACAGCCCGCAGAGAUGCAAGUGAGGGAGUGCCCGGUGCCCUCGGCAGACAGGUGGCAGAAAGCAGAGGGAGGAAGGGGGAGCUGACCGAUGCUGCGUGUCUUGUUCCGCUGAGGUCAGAGCCUCCAACAGGCCGAGCAGACCCAGGCCACGUUGCUCGGGGAACAGGACACCAGGGCGCUGGACUGGAGGCCCACAGCCUUCACUUCUGGCUCCUGCGGGGGUGCUAUACUGUCCAGGCCCUUGGCAGUGACUCUGCCUGCAAGAAUGACAAAUGCCAACAUAACCACAUCUUCCUUUUAGUUGCCACAACUAUUCAGUUUUGUUUUAUCCAUCAUGUCCCCCAUAUGCAUGUAAUGAAACAUUUGUGAAAAUCACUUUAAUAAUAAACAGGAAAUGAACCUAAA
Sapajus apella (tufted capuchin) is the source of this 2518-nucleotide long non-coding RNA. RefSeq lists it as uncharacterized. The transcript has 2 exons. The record is from RefSeq and is a predicted model, not a curated record. NCBI's taxonomy places the organism in Eukaryota, Metazoa, Chordata, Mammalia, Primates, Cebidae.